GAUGAACGCUGGCGGCGUGCUUAACACAUGCAAGUCGAACGGAAAGGCCAGUGCUUGCACUGGUGCUCGAGUGGCGAACGGGUGAGUAACACGUGGGUGAUCUGCCCUGCACUUUGGGAUAAGCCUGGGAAACUGGGUCUAAUACCAGAUAGGACCAUGCUUUGGAUGGUGUGGUGGAAAGUUUUUUCGGUGUGGGAUGAGCUUGCGGCCUAUCAGCUUGUUGGUGGGGUAAUGGCCUACCAAGGCGUCGACGGGUAGCCGGCCUGAGAGGGUGUACGGCCACAUUGGGACUGAGAUACGGCCCAGGCUCCUACGGGAGGCAGCAGUGGGGAAUAUUGCACAAUGGGCGCAAGCCUGAUGCAGCGACGCCGCGUGGGGGAUGACGGCCUUCGGGUUGUAAACUCCUUUCGCAACUGACGAAGCUUUUUGUGACGGUAGGUUGAGAAGAAGCACCGGCUAACUACGUG
RNAcentral lists this ribosomal RNA (467 nucleotides) under uncultured bacterium. Its description in RNAcentral is "partial 16S ribosomal RNA". It matches the Rfam family "Bacterial small subunit ribosomal RNA", at positions 28 to 507 of the family's 1533-position model. The record is from RNAcentral.